GAUGAACGCUGGCGGCGUGCCUAACACAUGCAAGUCGAACGGGAAUCUUCGGAUUCUAGUGGCGGACGGGUGAGUAACGCGUAAGAAUCUAACUUCAGGACGGGGACAACAGUUGGAAACGACUGCUAAUACCCGAUGUGCCGCAAGGUGAAACCUAAUUGGCCUGAAGAAGAGCUUGCGUCUGAUUAGCUAGUUGGUGGGGUAAAGGCCUACCAAGGCGACGAUCAGUAGCUGGUCUGAGAGGAUGAGCAGCCACACUGGGACUGAGACACGGCCCAGACUCCUACGGGAGGCAGCAGUGGGGAAUUUUCCGCAAUGGGCGAAAGCCUGACGGAGCAACGCCGCGUGAGGGAGGAAGGUC
Molecule: ribosomal RNA, 361 nt
Filed under: uncultured bacterium
Lineage: Bacteria
Description: bacterial SSU rRNA
Rfam family: Bacterial small subunit ribosomal RNA
Source: RNAcentral